Molecule: unclassified non-coding RNA, 25 nt
Filed under: synthetic construct
Source: RNAcentral
GCCAGACUUUCUUGGAUUUGAAAUU